AUCGGUUUAAAGGGUACCUAGACGGUAGAUCAAGCUUUCAAUAAGGACUAGUUUACUAGAGUUACUUAUGAGGGGGUUGUAAAGUACUGUUGGUGUAGAGAUGAAAUUCUGUCAUACCUCUUUUCAAAAGAAAAAUCACGGCACAGGUAUAGGCGAAGGCAUCCCCUUAUGUGAUAACUGACGUUGAGGGACGAAGGCUUCGUGGAACAAACAGGAUUAGAUACCCCAGUAGUUGAAGCAGAAAAUGAUGAAUGUCAUAGAUUAGAUGUCUAAGUUUAUUCUAUAAAUGAAAGUGUAAGCAUUCCACCUCAAGAGUAAUUUGGCAACAUUGGAACUGAAAUCAUUAGACCGUUUCUGAUACCAG
This 364-nucleotide ribosomal RNA is filed under the name Canoparmelia amabilis. RNAcentral's name for it is "SSU rRNA". It matches the Rfam family "Bacterial small subunit ribosomal RNA", at positions 554 to 929 of the family's 1533-position model. Lineage: Eukaryota; Fungi; Ascomycota; Lecanoromycetes; Lecanorales; Parmeliaceae. The record is from RNAcentral.